UGCCAGCCGCCGCGGUAAUACGGAGGGUGCGAGCGUUAAUCGGAAUUACUGGGCGUAAAGCGCACGCAGGCGGCUCGACCAGUCAGAUGUGAAAGCCCCGGGCUCAACCUGGGAAUAGCAUUUGAUACUGUAGGGCUUGAGACCGGGAGAGGUGAGUGGAAUUCCCAGUGUAGAGGUGAAAUUCGUAGAUAUUGGGAGGAACACCAGUGGCGAAGGCGGCUAACUGGCUCGGUACUGACGCUGAGAUGCGAAAGCGUGGGGAGCAAACAGGAUUAGAUA
RNAcentral lists this ribosomal RNA (279 nucleotides) under uncultured bacterium. RNAcentral describes it as "partial 16S ribosomal RNA". It matches the Rfam family "Bacterial small subunit ribosomal RNA", at positions 506 to 784 of the family's 1533-position model. The record is from RNAcentral.